CGACUUGGAGGUUGUGCCCUUGAGGCGUGGCUUCCGGAGCUAACGCGUUAAGUCGACCGCCUGGGGAGUACGGCCGCAAGGUUAAAACUCAAAUGAAUUGACGGGGGCCCGCACAAGCGGUGGAGCAUGUGGUUUAAUUCGAUGCAACGCGAAGAACCUUACCUACUCUUGACAUCCAGAGAACUUUCCAGAGAUGGAUUGGUGCCUUCGGGAACUCUGAGACAGGUGCUGCAUGGCUGUCGUCAGCUCGUGUUGUGAAAUGUUGGGUUAAGUCCCGCAACGAGCGCAACCCUUAUCCUUUGUUGCCAGCGGUCCGGCCGGGAACUCAAAGGAGACUGCCAGUGAUAAACUGGAGGAAGGUGGGGAUGACGUCAAGUCAUCAUGGCCCUUACGAGUAGGGCUACACACGUGCUACAGUGGCGCAUACAAAGAGAAGCGACCUCGCGAGAGCAAGCGGACCUCAUAAAGUGCGUCGUAGUCCGGAUUGGAGUCUGCAACUCGACUCCAUGAAGUCGGAAUCGCUAGUAAUCGUAGAUCAGAAUGCUACGGUGAAUACGUUCCCGGGCCUUGUACACACCGCCCGUCACACCAUGGGAGUGGGUUGCAAAAGAAGUAGGUAGCUUAACCUUCGGGAGGGCGCUUACCACUUUGUGAUUCAUGACUGGGGUGAAGUCGUAACAAGGUAGC
This 687-nucleotide ribosomal RNA is filed under the name uncultured bacterium. Its description in RNAcentral is "bacterial SSU rRNA". It matches the Rfam family "Bacterial small subunit ribosomal RNA", at positions 813 to 1500 of the family's 1533-position model. The record is from RNAcentral.